CAUUGUAAUUAAGCCCCUUCGCAGAGAUGUGAAAGGUGCACUACUCGAUUUAUUGACUAGGAAAGAAUGAGAGUUACUUUGCUUUACUGCACAUUAGAAACUCUUGACAAGUCAGCAUACUGGAGAUCUGACGUAUAGCGCAUUCCUAGGUAACUGGAGAGUAACUGGUGAUUAGAAGUGUUUCAGCUGAUAAAACACCAUCUGUUUUGGCAUUGAUGAAUUAUACCUGCUCUAAAUCAGACAGAAAUAAAACCAAAUCAUUUUAUAUCUAAUAGUUUCCUCUGAAAAUCUUGUUUUACCCAUUUUAGAAGCCUGUGCAUUAAAGAUCUUAAUGUGAUGGCCUGUAUUUGCCGUUCCAGGGAACAUAAUGUUACUGCUAUACAUACACCAGUCAUUCCUAAAUGUUAUUUUCAAUCUAAACCCAACCAGCUAACAUUUCUUAAUUAAGGAUGCAGGCAGAAACCUCGGGUAUUAAGCAUAAUGUGAUUCCAAUGGUUUCACUAUAAAUAUGAUGCUUACUAUACAUAAUCUUGAAUAAUUUUGUGCCAACCCUAGAUUGACCUAUUCUAGGGUUUAGCAUAGAAAGGCAUUAUAUGCAAAACAUUUCAAAAGAACUGUAGUUACCAAUAGGAUGUAAGAUAGCGCAGUCAGCCAGUCUUGGUGUGGGACACGCGAGUGAUGCAGAGUGAUUGUGUUUGGUUGGCCUCUGUGUUAAAGUUCACCACCUGGAGGCUGCCACAGUAGUGUAGAGAUAUACUGACGCCUUAUCCAGCCUACUUCAAUGUUUUGGUUUUCUGUUCAGUUGAGAUUCUUAGCAUCUCUCCUCCGCUGGCAGGUGAUUGUGAACAACAAACCACAUAUCCAGCACAACAGCUGCCAUAUGGAGCAAGGCAACAGACUGGAAAUGUUUGGAUGUGUCCUGUUUUGAGGAUGAGCCAACCCAAACGGUGAUGGACAAGCACAAAACAGACUGAAUAGUGUCAGCGUAGAAGAUGACCUGCAUCUCCUGUGGGGGGUUGUACUUGGUGCCACAUAAACCUCAGAGACCUUCACAGAACGUCUUGAUUUACACUGAGAUACAAUUACACAGAACUGGAUUCAAAUUAUUAGGUACUUGGUUGCGAUUUUUAUUAAUUGUAUCAUAGUAAAAGGUGGCUGAAUACAAAUGCGUGCUUCACACUGAUUUUUUUGUUUUUGUUUAAAAUGAUUAAAAAGUUUAAUAAAUUA
Girardinichthys multiradiatus is the source of this 1227-nucleotide long non-coding RNA. RefSeq lists it as uncharacterized. Lineage: Eukaryota; Metazoa; Chordata; Actinopteri; Cyprinodontiformes; Goodeidae. The transcript has 2 exons. The record is from RefSeq and is a predicted model, not a curated record.